Molecule: long non-coding RNA, 321 nt
Filed under: Medicago truncatula (barrel medic)
Lineage: Eukaryota; Viridiplantae; Streptophyta; Magnoliopsida; Fabales; Fabaceae
Description: lncRNA gene8714
Source: RNAcentral
AUGUUCAUCAGGAGUAAACGAGUCUCUAUCUUUUUUCAAGGUGUUGUUUCUUCUACUCCUGCUACUCUCAACUUUUCCAGAGUCACUAGUACUUGCUGUGCAACGAUUUAAAAAGGGUUUAACGUGGCUGCUCUUCAACUUUCUUAAAGAUUCCAAUUCCGUUGAGAGUCCUGAUAUUUCCUUGUUUAAUCUUUUUUAUGUUUAUCUUCUCAUUUGUCUUUUCUACUUCUUCUUGUUUACUUCUCAAUUUCUUAGUGUAGUCAGUCUCCAUUUUAUUAAAUUGAUUCCACACAAAAUUCUUUUCUUGCAAAAGCGCUAAUA